CAGCUGCCGCGGUAAUACAGAGGGUGCAAGCGUUAAUCGGAAUUACUGGGCGUAAAGCGCGCGUAGGUGGUUUGUUAAGUUGGAUGUGAAAUCCCCGGGCUCAACCUGGGAACUGCAUCCAAAACUGGCAGGCUAGAGUAGGGCAGAGGGUGGUGGAAUUUCCUGUGUAGCGGUGAAAUGCGUAGAUAUAGGAAGGAACACCAGUGGCGAAGGCGACCACCUGGGCUCAUACUGACACUGAGGUGCGAAAGCGUGGGGAGCAAACAGGAUUAGAUACCCCCGUAGUCCCUGUCUCUUAUAC
Molecule: ribosomal RNA, 301 nt
Filed under: uncultured bacterium
Lineage: Bacteria
Description: partial 16S ribosomal RNA
Rfam family: Bacterial small subunit ribosomal RNA
Source: RNAcentral